CCACACAGCCAAAAAUAAAUUUGGAAGGAUCCAAGAAUCUGUCACAAACUGGAACAGAAUGUUUGAAAGCACAGUAUAUAAAAAGGUAAGUGCAUAAACAACUAAAUGCGAAUGUUGUAAAGGGUGCACUCUAGGUGCUAGAACCUUUAUACUGCCUCAUGUGCAAGGUAC
Molecule: long non-coding RNA, 171 nt
Organism: Hibiscus syriacus
Lineage: Eukaryota; Viridiplantae; Streptophyta; Magnoliopsida; Malvales; Malvaceae
Exons: 2
Source: RefSeq, a predicted model, not a curated record